RNAcentral lists this ribosomal RNA (351 nucleotides) under uncultured Spirochaeta sp. RNAcentral describes it as "bacterial SSU rRNA". It matches the Rfam family "Bacterial small subunit ribosomal RNA", at positions 1030 to 1382 of the family's 1533-position model. Lineage: Bacteria; Pseudomonadati; Spirochaetota; Spirochaetia; Spirochaetales; Spirochaetaceae. The record is from RNAcentral.
GUAUACAGGUGCUGCAUGGCUGUCGUCAGCUCGUGCUGUGAAGUGUUGGGUUAAGUCCCGCAACGAGCGCAACCCUAUCAUCUGUUGCCAGCAUUUAAGGUGGGGACUCAGAUGAGACUGCCGGUGACAAACCGGAGGAAGGUGGGGACGACGUCAAGUCAUCAUGGCCCUUAUGUCCUGGGCUACACACGUGCUACAAUGGCCGGUACAGAGUGAAGCGAAACCGCGAGGUGAAGCAAAACGCAGAAAGCCGGUCUCAGUACGGAUUGGAGUCUGAAACUCGACUUCAUGAAGUUGGAAUCGCUAGUAAUCGCGCAUCAGCAUGGCGCGGUGAAUACGUUCCCGGGCCUU